GUGGCUCCAUGGUAGAGCAUCUGCUUGGCAUGCAGAAGGUCCCAGGUUCAAUCCCAGCAUCUCCA
This 65-nucleotide transfer RNA is filed under the name Sphaerodactylus townsendi. RNAcentral describes it as "tRNA-Ala". It matches the Rfam family "tRNA". From Rfam's summary of the family: Transfer RNA (tRNA) molecules are approximately 80 nucleotides in length. Their secondary structure includes four short double-helical elements and three loops (D, anti-codon, and T loops). Further hydrogen bonds mediate the characteristic L-shaped molecular structure. tRNAs have two regions of fundamental functional importance: the anti-codon, which is responsible for specific mRNA codon recognition, and the 3' end, to which the tRNAs corresponding amino acid is attached (by aminoacyl-tRNA synthetases). tRNAs cope with the degeneracy of the genetic code in two manners: having more than one tRNA (with a specific anti-codon) for a particular amino acid; and 'wobble' base-pairing, i.e. permitting non-standard base-pairing at the 3rd anti-codon position. Lineage: Eukaryota; Metazoa; Chordata; Lepidosauria; Squamata; Sphaerodactylidae. The record is from RNAcentral.